Molecule: non-coding RNA, 329 nt
Organism: Ciona savignyi (Pacific transparent sea squirt)
Lineage: Eukaryota; Metazoa; Chordata; Ascidiacea; Phlebobranchia; Cionidae
Source: Rfam
AGCAGGCUCACUAAUAUUUUUAUUCCUUCCAGCAGGCUGGGGUAUUCAUUCAAUCUAAUCACUAAAUUUCCCAGAACGUUUACUAUGUAAAAAAUUAGAGUGUUCAAAGCAGGCUCUUCAGUCUGGAUAAUGGUGCAUGAAUUUGAAAUAGGACAACGGUUCUAUUUUGUUGGUUUUCGGAGCGCGAGGUAAUGAUUAAGAGGGACAGGCAGGGCAUUCGUACUUUGCCGUUAGAGGUGAAAUUCUUGGAUCGGCGUAAGACGAACAACUGCGAAAGCAUUUGCCAAGAUUUUUCUUUAAUCAAGAGCAAAAGUUUUCUUUAAUCAAGA